AGUCGAAAGUAAAGACAACUGACAAUGUCAGAGCCGUGUCUGACCCUUCCCAGACAUCUAAAGCUCCUGUCGGACGGCCAAAGUCGAAAGUAAAGACAACUGACAAUGUCAGAGCCGUGUCUGACCCUUCCCAGACAUCUAAAGCUCAAACAGACAUUGUCACUGAGGCCACAG
Pimephales promelas (fathead minnow) is the source of this 174-nucleotide non-coding RNA. The record is from RefSeq and is a predicted model, not a curated record. NCBI's taxonomy places the organism in Eukaryota, Metazoa, Chordata, Actinopteri, Cypriniformes, Leuciscidae.